ACCCAGUUUUGAACUAAGCUAGCAGUUCCCUUCGAUUGUUACUGCUAUUCUAGUCUAAACAAGUCCUGGACCUAUUUUGUUAAGGAGCAGACAUGCAGGUGUAUUUUAGAUUUUAAGAUUAAAAUGGAAAUAAGAGCACAUUAGCAAGAGCAAGACAGUAUUUCUAACGGUUUAUUCUCACAUCCAUGGCAGGCUCGGUAACAAUCAGGAGUCUUUCCAACUGUAUUUUCGAUAAACUGAAUAUGGCAGAGACACGCUUUAAAGAGAACUACCUUGACGAACUUAAAGACUUCAAAGCUGGAUCUGAAGAUCAAAUAGCUGAAAGAAUCAAAGAGAAGCAUGGAAAAUGUGGAACCUAUGGUCCCCGUGCCAAUAGCUGUGAACAUCUUGCUACCUAUGUGCGCUAUGGAGUGUCAAUUUCACUGCAGCCGGGCCAGAAUGUCGCACAAUACUGCAAAAAUGAUGCCAGCCUCAAUAUUGAAGAAAUACGGACGAAAAUAGGACCUGGUCCAGAGACAACAUGUGAUUCUUUGUGUCCAAGGUCCAAAAGGGGUCCCGGUUAACAAGUGUGUUUCCAAUCCUGAGGCGGUGGCCUUUCCUCACAUGACAUGAGGUCUUAUUUGAAAUAAAAAAAGAGAAAGAA
Long non-coding RNA from Micropterus salmoides (largemouth bass), 643 nucleotides. RefSeq lists it as uncharacterized. The record is from RefSeq and is a predicted model, not a curated record. The transcript has 2 exons. NCBI's taxonomy places the organism in Eukaryota, Metazoa, Chordata, Actinopteri, Centrarchiformes, Centrarchidae.